ACGCACGCUGGCGGCGUGCUUAACACAUGCAAGUCGAACGGAAAGGCCCUGCUUUUGUGGGGUGCUCGCGUGGCGAACGGGUGAGUAGCACGUGAGUAACCUGCCCUUGACUUUGGGAUAACUUCAGGAAACUGGGGCUAAUACCGGAUAGGAGCUCCUGCUGCAUGGUGGGGGUUGGAAAGUUUCGGCGGUUGGGGAUGGACUCGCGGCUUAUCAGCUUGUUGGUGGGGUAGUGGCUUACCAAGGCUUUGACGGGUAGCCGGCCUGAGAGGGUGACCGGCCACAUUGGGACUGAGAUACGGCCCAGACUCCUACGGGAGGCAGCAGUGGGGAAUAUUGCACAAUGGGCGGAAGCCUGAUGCAGCAACGCCGCGUGCGGGAUGACGGCCUUCGGGUUGUAAACCGCUUUCGCCUGUGACGAAGCGUGAGUGACGGUAAUGGGUAAAGAAGCACCGGCUAACUACGUG
This 467-nucleotide ribosomal RNA is filed under the name uncultured bacterium. RNAcentral describes it as "partial 16S ribosomal RNA". It matches the Rfam family "Bacterial small subunit ribosomal RNA", at positions 29 to 507 of the family's 1533-position model. The record is from RNAcentral.